This 6827-nucleotide long non-coding RNA is filed under the name Musa acuminata (dwarf banana). Its description in RNAcentral is "long non-coding RNA (MACU_LNC008985)". The record is from RNAcentral. Lineage: Eukaryota; Viridiplantae; Streptophyta; Magnoliopsida; Zingiberales; Musaceae.
AUCCAUUACAUGUAUCUAUCAGGUUUGUGCAACCUAAUACAUUUAUUAAAGGUAAAACAAAAGAGAUUUAGUAGAUGGGGCAUCACUACUAGGUAGUCCAACCACCAACUACAAUUAAUUCCAGAGUUUAAAUAAAGGAUAUGGCUUCACCACAGGAUCAUGUCCUAUCUAUUGUUCCAUUUUAAACCCUGCACCAGGCAGGAUCCUAUCUAUUACUUGACAAGGAUGACCAACAAAACCUAGAUGGGUCAUGCUCAGCAUUGUCAACUCCUGACAUGCAAACCUUUGAGUUUGACAUGUGAACAAAUCCCCAUUUGGCCAACCUUGCAUAUAUAUACACCAGGGCUAAAAUUUUCAAGUCUUCAUUGAUCCAAACAAUCCUGCAAGCAAUGAAGGCUGUGGUGAGAUUGCUGCCUGCCCUUUUCAUCUUGCAAGCCAUCUUCGUUGCGACGACGGGUGAUGCUCGCUACCUGAGGGAUCACAGCCGGUGCGAUGAGUUUUAUGCGGCAGAGGAAGGUGAGACACUUCAAACCAUCAGUGUAAAGUGCAACAAUAUCUUCAUUCUGGAAGACAAUCCUCAGAUCAACGACACCGAUGAUAUCGGGCCAGGAACAGUGCUGUAUAUGCGGCAGAUGUGAAAUAUGUAAUAUUGUAUGCAUCACACAGAAUCCUUUGUAACUUUUUAUUUCUAAUCCUGAAAACAUAAAUGAGAAAAUAAUAUGUGCAGAUAAAACAUAUGUGAACUCUCUGUCCCGUCAUAUAUUUAUGCAUCAAAUAUUUAAAAGUUAGUUAAAUAGGACCAAACCAGCUGUGGGAAUGCUGAUAGUAACGAUUCUGGUUGCCGGAUAUUUGCGGAGGCUGUGUUCCUUCACUAGUUUUGCUCUUGGAAAAGGGCAUGUUUUGCUGCCGUAGGAGAUAUUCAACAUGGUGAGUUUGGUUUGUUCCUGUUUCUUGGACUUUGGCUCUCUUCUGAACUGCUCUUUGCUGCAGCCAUGUUUCUGACAUUGCUUCCGCUGAGAUUCUACUUUCACCACAUAUGCUUUUGUUGAAGCUGGAACAUGUCACCACAGGAAAAUCCACUGGGUUCUUUGGACUAUAUUUUCUUCUUUAAGUGCCGUUGCAUAUUUUUCAGGACCAUGCCGUAUUGAUGCCAGUUUGCUUUUCUAUAAGAUUUAGCUGACUUUUGAGACUUCAAUAGCAACACGUCUCCUUUGCAGGGAUUGCCUUCCUUCUACUUCAUCUCUAAAACAUCCACCUUGGAUAAUACUAGUUUAAAUAAUUUGGAUAAAAUGGUGGUCAAUAGCCAUAGUUAUCGAUUAUUUAUUUAGUCAUAAGAUAUUAUAACAAUACAUUACACAAGUGAAUGUUUCACCAAUUUAUUCUGGAAAGCUGAUAAUGGCAUAAUAUUAUAACUCACUGUUUACUAGCGGCAAACAAACAUGUAAACAAAGUGCUAAAAUGAGUCUUAGGUUGAGAGUUGCUGCCACAGAGCCACAGCAGGUUGCUGUAUAUUACGAGCAUUGCAUUUUGAUCAAACAAUAACUGUUCACCAAGUGGCAAACAGACAACUGCUGAUCCCGAUGCACAUGCCUCGGGAGAACUGUAAAUGCUUACCUUGAACAAGAACAGCAAAAAUUUAUGCCAUAAGAGAAAUUUUAAAAUAUGUGAUCAGCCUAUAAUGUCUCGUCUAACUUGGCAAAUCACAGUAGACUCUAAAACACAAAUUGUCUCAUCCAAAGUAAUGAUGGAUGAGACAAUUCACUAAAUGGUUUCUAAAAACAUUCUACAGAAGCAUCAGCAAGAGAAAAUGAUAGGAAGCCAAGCAUAACAAAUUCUUUCCCAUGUCUUAUCAACUUAUUUUGUUAUUUCUCCUCACUUUUUCUUAUUAUACUAGGAAGAAAACUUUUCCUAAGAUUUUUAUCUUCCUUACCAUGUAAUCUUGUUCCUAUGUAUUCUUCUUUCUUUGCAGCCAAUAUAGAACCUAAAUGAGACUCCAAGGAUAAUUAGGAAUUAACACUCCUAAAAGAAGUUAAAAAUGAAAUUAUCUGGCAGACUGAAAUGAAAGAGGCUCAAAUAAUACACUAGCCAAUAAAGUUCACAAACUCUCACAUCCCAGAUUUAUAAAAAGAAUAAUAAAUUAAUAUUUUAUUAUUCAUAAUUUACAUAAUAAACUUCCUCUUUUAUUUUUUUUAAAUUCAAAUCCUUACCUUUACAAUAGUAAAUAUUCUAUUAAUUAGAAAAAUGAUCACACAAAGUCUCUUCCACCUCAGCUUCAAAUCUAUUACAAAAUAGUAGAUUACUUUGAAAAUAAAUAUAAGAUAAAACAUAUCAACAACCACACAUGUUAGUAGGAAUCUCAGAAAAAUCAUAAAAAUAAUCUUUAAUAUUCAUGAAAUAUAAAUAAAUAUCAAUAAUUUAUUAAGAAAUUAUAAUAUGUCGAUUCAUCGUAAAACUUAUGCAAUAGAAAAACGAUGAUAAUUUCUUACAUAAUAAACAAAAUCAUGCAUCAGCUACAUACAACACAUACAUAAUAACUAAAAAACAAAGAUAUACAUUACACCCAAUAGUGCACUCUCCAAACAGUGGAUGGAGAGACAUAUUCCACGGGAUGAAUUCCUCUCAACAGCGGAUGAAGAUAAUCCAUCUCGCAUUCCCAACAACGGAUGGAGUAGUAUCCCUCACCCGCCCAAGUGGGGACAUGUUCCUCCCAACAACGGAUGGAGGAACCAUCUAACCAUCACGUCUGAUGGUCCGCUAAUCCCCGAAGGGAAUCGCCAUACCUGCCCUCGGCAGGGAUAUAUAAAUAUCCAUAAUCAUUCAUUUACACUCAUCCAUUCAACACAUGCAUUAAGAAAUCAAUAUGAUUAAACAUUAUGAGAUAUCAUAUAAAUUUAAUAGACUAUGUUCAUUGGUGGCUCCGCACUAUGAUGGGCCCGUAGCUCCUUCCACAGGUUGUACUCUCAAUGUAAACUACUAGUCUAAUCACAUCUACUACAUGAUACUAAUCAUAUCAAUAUCAUAAACAUAAGAAAAUAGAAAACCAAUAAUUAUUUUCAAAUGACAUUUUCAGAUAAAACCUUUAAAUUCAUCAAAUCGAAACAUCAAUCUCUCAAUAGUCCUCAAUCAACCAAAACCCUAAUUAGAAUAGCUCAAUUGACUUAAAUCAAAUUCAAUUCGAUGAUGAUCAAACGGAACCAACCUCAAAUUCUUAUAGAACCGGUCUGGAAUCACCCUAGACCGGUCUAAUCUAGAUUUGAUUGAUCUCGAUUAGGUCAAGUAGAUUUGAACUAGUCAAGUUAGUUUGGAACCAACCUAAAUUGACUUUAGCUGAUCAAACCUAUCUGAUUUAGCCAAUUAACGAGCUCAAACUAAUAAAGGGAGAGGAAAUUAGACUAUGUCGUAUAGUGCUAGCCCAAAUCGAACCAACCCACCUAAGUCUUAGAUGGGUCACAUACGCUACAUAUGCCUGUUCCAAGUAAUAGGUUGAUUUGAGGUACAACGAGCUAGAUAGAGGAGCAAUGAUGUGUCUAAUGCCAAUCGCAUAAUUGGGCAUGCUUAACUUCAUGGACUAAGCGAAGCCUUAUUCAUAAGUUGAGCUGAACCUUACCACUGAACUAGGCCAUGUUUGGCUCGUGAGUUGGUCGUACCUAGAUACAUGAGUUGGGGUCGUAUCUGACCACAUGGACUGGAUCGUACCUAGUCGUAUGAGCUGGGACAAAUAUAACCACAUAGACCGGAUCAUACCUGGCCACAUGGGUUGGGUCAUGCUUGGCCAUAUGGAGUAAAUCGUACAUUAUUACAUGGGCUAGCUCCUACUUGGCCACAUGAGCUAGGUCAUGCCUAGACGCAUAAGCUAGGCUAUACUUGGCCACAUGGGAUAGGUUAUAUAUGACCACAUGGGCUGAGUCGAUCUGGUCUAAUAGAUCAACCUGACUCAAGUCAGAUCCCAAUUAAACUCCUCUUAAAAUAUUUAAAGAAUGACUCAAAUCCAUUAAUUAAAUUCAUGACCUUAAAUUUAAAACUAAUUACAUUAUAGAAAUUCACACAUACUUCUUAAAAAUAUAGAUAUAUCUAAUUAAAUAAAUUAAAACUAUUAUGCUAAUCCAAAAAUAAGAAUUUUAAUAAUUAAAUCAAUAUUAAAAUUUACUUAAGCUUCAGAGAUCAAUAUAAAUCAAAUAAUCAUUCUAACAUCACAAAAUAAUUAUCAUUAUUUACUAAUCAUGAAAUUUCAAAAUUAAAACAUCAUAUCAUAAAAUUAUAACAAUCUCAACAUCAAGAUUUCAAAAUAUAAAUCAAAGCUAGUUAGAAAAGAAAUGAUCCUACCUCUUCUCGACUAUCCUUUCCUCGAUAUCAUCUCCUCGGGAAGUCCUCUUCUCAAUCCUCCCAUUAUUAAACUCGGUGAGAAAGGAGGGAGGAGUAGUCCCCAUUAUAUAAGAGAAGAUGAGAUCUCCCCAAAAAAUAAGUAAUAAUUUAAUUCUUAUUUUUAAUUUAUUUUUAUUUUCUUUUUACACACAAAGAGAGAAAUAUAAUAUUUAUUUCUUAUAGUUCACACAUGAAAAUAGAAUGUAAACUAUUUACUUCCUAAAAAUCAAAUUACUCAUUAGGAAAUAAAUAAAUUAAUAAUUUAAUUGAUUAGUAGAAUUUCUAACUUAUUCACAUGAGUAAGGAAAUCAAAUUUAAUCAUUUCUUUAACUAUAGUACACAAAUAUAAAAGUUAAUAAUAAAGUAAUACAUCAUUUAUAGUAAUUAAUUUAUGUUAAGGAAGAAAUGAUCGAUGAUUACAUUAUCGGAUAAUAUCUAAUUUAUUAUCAGAUAAUAUCAUUUAUAAUAAUUAAUUUAUUUUUAAUUUAUUUUUAAUUUUCUUUCACACACAAAGAAAGAAAUAUAAUAUUAAUUUCUUAUAGUUCACGCGGAAUGUAAACUAUUUACUUCCUAAAAAUCAAAUCACUCAUUAGGAAAUAAAUCAAUUAAUAAUUUAAUUGAUUAGUAGAAUUCCUAACUUAUUCACAUGAUUAAGGAAAUUAAAUUUAAUCAUUUUCUUACCUUAACUAUAGGACACAAACAUAGAAGUUAAUAAUAAAGCAAUACAUCAUUUAUAGUAAUUAAUUUAUGUUAAGGAAGAAAUUAUAGGUGAUUACAUUAUCGGAUAAUAUCUAUUUGUAAGUGAAAAAAAUAUGCUAAAAACAGGAUAUUGUUUUAUGUAAAUUAUUUCCUGCAUAAAACCUGCAGUUUGUACCAUUAUUUUAUAAAUUUAAUCAUCGAGGAAUUGGUUAAUAAGAGUAUCGGCUAAGUCAGCAAAGAACAAGUAUAUUUCUGGUUCCCCUGAAUUUCUAGUGAUCAAUAAAAAUUGAUGCAUAUAAGACUUUGUCACUAUCAAAUGCCUGUAGUAUAAAUGAAUUAUCAUUGUGAGUAAUCCUAGAGUACUGGCUUUUGCUUGCAUGGUAUCAUAAUCUCCUCAAACAAACUAAUAGAUCUUCCUGAAUCUAUGUUUUAUUGUAAAAAAUCUCAUUCAAAGGUAUGUUGUAUGUAUCAGUUAUAAGCACUUCCAGCAAAACAUGCCAUAUCAUUUUCCUUCUUCCACCAAUUUUGUUAUGGUCUGUAAUAUAUCCAACCAGGAUAAGAUUAUUGUUUGGCAUACAACUUAAUAUGCCACCAAUUACAUCCAUGCAAGCUGAGAGGUAAGGAAAAUGAGCAAAUCAACAGAUGUGAGUCGAGAGAGACAGCUGCCUCUCAUACUUCUCAGACAGUAGCAUCGCAUAUAUUAUUUUAAAACUUUGGUUUCCUUUAGUUGAAUAUUACAAUUUGUUUCAUCUUCCCUUCUUUACGCACAUAAGAAAAUUAUGAAUGAUAAAUGUAUUGGAUACCAUUCUUACAGUUCCAGAUUGUUGAUAGGUCUAGUGGCAAUUCAGAUUAACUAAAGUUGACAGGAUGCAGAUGGACUCAUUUGACUAUGGUAUUGUUGUCAACAUACUGAAAAAUUAAUAUUAUCUAAACUCCGAUGAUCUGAACACCAUGCAAGCCUUACAAAAUGUUGAUGCUUGUGUAAUCAAUUUUCCAUUGUGAACAAACAAAACAGGUAUUUAUUAUAAGUUGCAUGUCCUUCCUCCUGAAAGAUUACAGUUGAUAAAAGGAGCAACUUUAAUCUUCUGUAAUAGGUCUAUAAUCAUCUUUCUAAGUCUGACUCAAAAUUGUUUUUCCCACGUAUCUUGAACUACCUUAUGGAGAAUGAUGCCAAGUUCGGCCUCAAUAAUAAAUCUAGUAGAAAAAUCAAGACAAGCUAUUUUGAGAAGAUAUUUGCACUUCUUUAACUGACUCAGAACGUAUUAGACAAUUGUUCUUUCAAAUUAUGCUAGUUUUCUUCAUGUAAGACAUGUAAGACAAAUUGAAGCGAUUAACAUCUUCCAGAUCAAAUUAGGUUUACGCAUGCUUAAAAAUGAAAUUUUGGUUCUUGAAAACAAUUCCACAAGGUAAAUGACAAUCGCUACGUACACUUCGAGAUUCCAGAUUUAUCCGAUAGUAGAACAGCUAGAGCUCGAUUAAGGCAUUACGGAACUGAACAUUGCAUCAACAAAGAAACUAGAAAAUCGUAGAGAGAAACGAGAAGGCCGAGGAAAAGUGAGCACAUUGCGGGAGAGGAGGUCGAGGACGGGGAGGGUCGUCGAUGGAUCCGAUCUCGUCCAUGCUGCAGUCGUUCCUGGGGCGGUCUCCGAUGGUCUUGUCGGGCUCGACGGCAGCGGCGGCGUGAGCGGAGAGAUCGGAUCAGGAGCAUGCUGCCGCCCUCGCUCUUCCCGCUUCUCUUCCACGCGCCUCCGCAAAUCACAUAUGCC